ACCCAAUUGGCCGGCCUGCUUACCAUGCAAGUCGAGCGGUAAGGCCCUUCGGGGUACACGAGCGGCGAACGGGUGAGUAACACGUGAGCAACCUGCCCCUGACUCCGGGAUAAGCGGUGGAAACGCCGUCUAAUACCGGAUACGACCUGUCACCUCAUGGUGGCGGGUGGAAAGUUUUUCGGUCGGGGAUGGGCUCGCGGCCUAUCAGCUAGUUGGUGGGGUAAAGGCCUACCAAGGCGAUUACGGGUAGCCGGCCUGAGAGGGCGACCGGCCACACUGGGACUGAGACACGGCCCAGACUCCUGCGGGAGGCAGCAGUGGGGAAUAUUGCGCAAUGGGCGAAAGCCUGACGCAGCGACGCCGCGUGGGGGAUGACGGCCUUCGGGUUGUAAACCUCUUUUACCACCAACGCAGGCUCCCAGUUCUCUGGGGGUUGACGGUAGGUGGGGAAUAAGGACCGGCUAACUACGUGCCAGCAGCCGCGGUAAUACGUAGGGUCCGAGCGUUGUCCGGAAUUAUUGGGCGUAAAGAGCUCGUAGGCGGCGUGUCGCGUCUGCUGUGAAAGACCGGGGCUUAACUCCGGUUCUGCAGUGGAUACGGGCAUGCUAGAGGUAGGUAGGGGAGACUGGAAUUCCUGGUGUAGCGGUGAAAUGCGCAGAUAUCAGGAGGAACACCGGUGGCGAAGGCGGGUCUCUGGGCCUUACCUGACGCUGAGGAGCGAAAGCAUGGGGAGCGAACAGGAUUAGAUACCCUGGUAGUCCAUGCCGUAAACGUUGGGCGCUAGGUGUGGGGACUUUCCACGGUUUCCGCGCCGUAGCUAACGCAUUAAGCGCCCCGCCUGGGGAGUACGGCCGCAAGGCUAAAACUCAAAGGAAUUGACGGGGGCCCGCACAAGCGGCGGAGCAUGUUGCUUAAUUCGACGCAACGCGAAGAACCUUACCAAAGGUUUGACAUCACCCGUGGACCUGCAGAGAUGUGGGGUCAUUUAGUUGGUGGGUGACAGGUGGUGCAUGGCUGUCGUCAGCUCGUGUCGUGAGAUGUUGGGUUUAAGUCCCGCAACGAGCGCAACUCUAUUUCCAUGUGGCAAGCACCGUAAUGGUGGGACUCAUGGGAGACUGCUGGUCACCUCCGAAGACGUGGGGACGACGUCCAGUCAUCAUGCCCUUAUGGCUUGGCUGCAACCUGCCUACAUUGUCGUUACAUUGGGCGUGGCAAUCCGUAAGGUGGACGCUAUCCUUAUAGUCGCUUCUCGGUUCGGAAUGUGUGCCG
RNAcentral lists this ribosomal RNA (1269 nucleotides) under Nocardiopsis sp. HL86. RNAcentral describes it as "bacterial SSU rRNA". It matches the Rfam family "Bacterial small subunit ribosomal RNA", at positions 32 to 1307 of the family's 1533-position model. Lineage: Bacteria; Bacillati; Actinomycetota; Actinomycetes; Streptosporangiales; Nocardiopsidaceae. The record is from RNAcentral.